Arachis duranensis is the source of this 745-nucleotide long non-coding RNA. RefSeq lists it as uncharacterized. The record is from RefSeq and is a predicted model, not a curated record. NCBI's taxonomy places the organism in Eukaryota, Viridiplantae, Streptophyta, Magnoliopsida, Fabales, Fabaceae. The transcript has 5 exons.
AAAUUUUGCAAGUUCGGGUCUUUGUUUGGCUAUUACCAUUGUUCAGUUGUACAUUUUUGUCCUUCUGAGCUGUUGAGUAAUAAUCCUGUUUAUGCAGACAAAUGAGCUCUAUCAGCUGGCGUCUGUUGCCUUCUGCUUGCUUGUAGCCUGAUAAGGCCUUAGAGCUUGGAAUCAUAAACAGCCGCCAUGAAGCCUUCAUCACUUCCAAACUUUGGUGCAACAAUGCUCACCAUGACCUUUUCCUUCCAGCUCUCAAGACCACACUCAAGUGGAAAUGAGCUCAUCAUGGCAACAAGGGAAACUCAGAGAAUUUUGCAAGCAGAAAGGAAUCCAUUUGGCUGCAUGGUCACCAUUAGGAUCUUACACAAAAUCAUGGGGUACUAAUUCAGUUAUGGAGAGUCCAAUCAUUAAUGAAAUAGCCACUUCUAGACACAAGAGUGUGCCUCAGGUUUAACCAAGUUGGAAUCUCUAAAUCUGAAGUAAUGUAAUUGCAUAAUAGAUGUCGAUAUGAAACCUCUAUCAGGUUGGUUUCAUAUUCUUCCGUAUGUGAGGCAAAGUCACUGAUAUUCUAAUUAUUACAUUCACUGCACAAGCAUACAUGGGCUACAAAAUCUUGCUCUGUUAAAUUUGGAAGGCUGCUUUGUAACAGCUGCAUGCUUGGAUACUCUUGCAGAGCUUCCAGCCCUCUCGAACUUGAAUAUCAGUAGAUGUAAUUUUACUAACAAUGGAUGUGAAAUGUUUUCAC